RNAcentral lists this ribosomal RNA (490 nucleotides) under uncultured bacterium. RNAcentral's name for it is "partial 16S ribosomal RNA". It matches the Rfam family "Bacterial small subunit ribosomal RNA", at positions 30 to 507 of the family's 1533-position model. The record is from RNAcentral.
AUUGAACGCUGGCGGCAUGCCUUACACAUGCAAGUCGAACGGCAGCAUGAUCUAGCUUGCUAGAUUGAUGGCGAGUGGCGAACGGGUGAGUAAUACAUCGGAACGUGCCCUGUAGUGGGGGAUAACUAGUCGAAAGAUUAGCUAAUACCGCAUACGACCUGAGGGUGAAAGUGGGGGACCGCAAGGCCUCAUGCUCUAGGAGCGGCCGAUGUCUGAUUAGCUAGUUGGUGAGGUAAAGGCUCACCAAGGCGACGAUCAGUAGCUGGUCUGAGAGGACGAUCAGCCACACUGGGACUGAGAAACGGCCCAGACUCCUACGGGAGGCAGCAGUGGGGAAUUUUGGACAAUGGGCGAAAGCCUGAUCCAGCAAUGCCGCGUGUGUGAAGAAGGCCUUCGGGUUGUAAAGCACUUUUGUCCGGAAAGAAAUGGCUCUGGUUAAUACCUGGGGUCGAUGACGGUACCGGAAGAAUAAGGACCGGCUAACUACGUG